RNAcentral lists this unclassified non-coding RNA (334 nucleotides) under soil metagenome. RNAcentral describes it as "partial contains 5.8S ribosomal RNA, internal transcribed spacer 2, and large subunit ribosomal RNA". The stretch from base 1 to 120 matches the Rfam family "5.8S ribosomal RNA", at positions 35 to 154 of the family's 154-position model. The record is from RNAcentral.
GAUGAAGAACGUAGCGAAAUGCGAUAAGUAGUGUGAAUUGCAGAAUUCAGUGAAUCAUCGAAUCUUUGAACGCACAUUGCGCCCCUUGGUAUUCCAUGGGGCAUGCCUGUUCGAGCGUCAUUUGUACCUUCAAGCUAUGCUUGGUGUUGGGUGAUUGUCUAUCUUUUUAGACUCGCCUUAAAGUCAUUGGCAGCCGGCAUAUUGGCCUGGGAGCGCAGCACAAGUCGCGCUUCUUGUCAUGAAUGUUGGCGUCCAGUAAGUCUACAUAUUUUGCUCUUGACCUCGGAUCAGGUAGGGAUACCCGCUGAACUUAAGCAUAUCAAUAAGCGGAGGA